AUCCAGCUGGCGAGUCCCAAACAGGACGAAACGCAUGUCCUGGAU
RNAcentral lists this non-coding RNA (45 nucleotides) under Schistosoma margrebowiei. The record is from RNAcentral. Lineage: Eukaryota; Metazoa; Platyhelminthes; Trematoda; Strigeidida; Schistosomatidae.